Molecule: ribosomal RNA, 497 nt
Filed under: uncultured bacterium
Lineage: Bacteria
Description: partial 16S ribosomal RNA
Rfam family: Bacterial small subunit ribosomal RNA
Source: RNAcentral
GAUGAACGCUGGCGGCGUGCCUAAUACAUGCAAGUCGAGCGAACGGACGAGAAGCUUGCUUUUCUGAUGUUAGCGGCGGACGGGUGAGUAACACGUGGAUAACCUACCUAUAAGACUGGGAUAACUUCGGGAAACCGGAGCUAAUACCGGAUAAUAUUUUGAACCGCAUGGUUCAAAAGUGAAAGACGGUCUUGCUGUCACUUAUAGAUGGAUCCGCGCUGCAUUAGCUAGUUGGUAAGGUAACGGCUUACCAAGGCAACGAUGCAUAGCCGACCUGAGAGGGUGAUCGGCCACACUGGAACUGAGACACGGUCCAGACUCCUUCGGGAGGCAGCAGUAGGGAAUCUUCCGCAAUGGGCGAAAGCCUGACGGAGCAACGCCGCGUGAGUGAUGAAGGUCUUCGGAUCGUAAAACUCUGUUAUUAGGGAAGAACAUAUGUGUAAGUAACUGUGCACAUCUUGACGGUACCUAAUCAGAAAGCCACGGCUAACUACGUG